Molecule: ribosomal RNA, 253 nt
Filed under: uncultured bacterium
Lineage: Bacteria
Description: partial 16S ribosomal RNA
Rfam family: Bacterial small subunit ribosomal RNA
Source: RNAcentral
UACGGGGGGGGCAAGCGUUGUUCGGAAUUACUGGGCGUAAAGGGCUCGUAGGCGGCCAACUAAGUCAGACGUGAAAUCCCUCGGCUUAACCGGGGAACUGCGUCUGAUACUGGAUGGCUUGAAUCCGGGAGAGGGAUGCGGAAUUCCAGGUGUAGCGGUGAAAUGCGUAGAUAUCUGGAGGAACACCGGUGGCGAAGGCGGCAUCCUGGACCAUUACUGACGCUGAGGCGCGAAAGCUAGGGGAGCAAACGGG